Long non-coding RNA from Rhinichthys klamathensis goyatoka, 328 nucleotides. RefSeq lists it as uncharacterized. The record is from RefSeq and is a predicted model, not a curated record. Lineage: Eukaryota; Metazoa; Chordata; Actinopteri; Cypriniformes; Leuciscidae. The transcript is spliced from 2 exons.
CCUAAGCAAGCAAAACAGGUGAGAAGUGGUUUCAAUGGGACAGCAUCUCUGUCCCAAGUUGAGACACUCUCACACUGUACUCCCUCUUUUAAUGCACUUUAGACAUUGCACAUAACACACACACAAAAAAACAAAAAAAAUAAUUGAGAAGAUAGGGACUGAAGAGAUGUGGGGGAAGGUUAUCUUAUAUUAUCUUAUUAUGCCAUCUUCUAUCUUAGACAGUGUUGACAAUCGCAAUUGUUACAUAGGAGGAAGGAUGGAAAUAAAAAUCGACUAAUACAAUAUUGGCAGUGUGGUGGUAGUGGGGAGUGGAGGUGGUGAUGGUAAU